This is an RNA transcript of Hipposideros armiger (great roundleaf bat), 3132 nucleotides long. It is a transcript of the gene named cytohesin 4, with no coding region annotated. The record is from RefSeq and is a predicted model, not a curated record. NCBI's taxonomy places the organism in Eukaryota, Metazoa, Chordata, Mammalia, Chiroptera, Hipposideridae. The transcript is spliced from 15 exons.
CUCCAGGGAGAGUUAAUGAAAGAGAGCUUGUUGGGGUGGAGCCCAGCUUCGACUGACUGUCCAGACCCAGUAGAGCUGAGCAGUGGGGAAACGGAGGAGCUUCAGCUGAUCAAAUGGCACCGGAAGCAGCUUCUGGAGGACAUCCAGAAGCUGAAGGAUGAGAUUGCAGAUGUGUUUGCCCAAAUCGACUGCUUCGAGACCAUGGAGGAGAGCCGGACAGUCCAGAAGGAGAAGAAGCUAUGCAUUGGGCGCAAGAAGUUCAACAUGGACCCCGUGAAGGGCAUCCAGUAUCUCAUUGAGCACAAGCUGCUGACCCCCGAAGCCCAGGACAUCGCCCAGUUCCUGUACAAGGGCGAGGGCCUCAACAAGACGGCCAUUGGCAACUACUUGGGGGAGAGGGACCCCAUCAACCUGCAGGUCCUCCAGGCUUUUGUGGACUGCCAUGAGUUCGCCAACCUCAACCUCGUUCAGGCCCUCAGGCAGUUCCUGUGGAGUUUCCGGCUGCCAGGCGAAGCCCAGAAGAUCGACCGGAUGAUGGAGACCUUUGCCUCUCGAUACUGCUUCUGCAAUCCAGGUGUCUUCCAGUCCACAGACACCUGCUACGUCCUGUCCUUCUCCAUCAUCAUGCUCAACACAAGCCUCCACAACCCCAACGUCCGGGACAAGCCGCCCUUCGAGCGCUUUGUGUCCAUGAACCGCGGCAUCAAUGAUGGCAGCGACCUGCCAGAGGAGCAGCUGCGGAACCUCUUCGACAGCAUCAAGAGCGAGCCCUUCUCCAUCCCUGAGGACGAUGGCAAUGAUCUCACUCACACCUUCUUCAACCCUGACCGCGAGGGCUGGCUACUCAAGCUGGGGGGCCGUGUGAAGACGUGGAAACGGCGCUGGUUCAUCCUGACCGACAGCUGCCUCUAUUACUUUGAGUUCACCACUGACAAGGAGCCACGGGGAAUCAUACCCCUUGAGAACCUCUCAGUGCAGAAGGUGGAUGACCCCAAGAAGCCAUUCUGCCUGGAGCUCUACAACCCCAGCUGCCGGGGCCAGAAGAUAAAAGCCUGCAAGACAGAUGGUGACGGCAAGGUGGUGGAGGGCAAGCAUGAGUCUUACCGGAUCUCGGCCUCCAGUGCCGAGGAGCGGGACCAAUGGAUCGAGGCCAUCCGGCACAAUGCCAGGCCCCAGGACACAGGGGAGUGAGGCACCAACUUCAUGGGGCUGGUGGGAGGAGCAAGCGAGACAUGGCACGUAAAGCUCUUAGCCCAGCACCUGGCACUUGAUGAGGAAACUGAGGUCCAGAGAGGGAAGGCACUGGCCCAGGGCCACAUAGACCGUGAGGGACAGAGCCAGGCCAAGCAAGCAGAGCCAGCAUCACCCGUGUCCCCUUCUACGACCUGGUCUCUGCUCGGAAGAAGAAGAUUGCCAGCAAGCAGUGAGCCUUCUGGGAGGUGGCUCUGGGGGCUGGGCGUCCAGGAAACCCCAUGACUGUGGUACCUAGAGACCCACCUCCCAACCCAGGGCACCCUGUCCUGGCCUGCAGACACUGUCACCCUCCCCCCAUUACUUCAAGUUGACAAGAUGGGGGAGACAGAGCUCAGGAGGGUGGGCGGGAACUGCCAAGGGCUCAGAGCCAGCAAUGAGGCCCCUUGGCACCCAGCUGCUGCCAGGAAAGGCCUGAGGAAAACAGCUGAAGAGAAACCAGCCUCAGAACCCGGCCCCCUGUUCUCCUUCUGGGCCUCAGUUUCCUCUUCUGUGAAUGUCUCCUUGCACUCCGAAAUACCGCCAGUCCUCACAGUAGGAAGGACUGUGAGGUUCCUGAGCUCCGUUUCCAGAGCGCUGUGUGCCCUCUGCCCAAGUCACACUCCUCCUCUGGUUCUUGGAACGCUGUGGUGUUUGGAUAGAAAUGUCUCGGGCCCUCAGGCUCUGUGCUCCCGGCCAUACUGCCUGGUCACAGUAGGCACAACCCCAGUGCAGGUUCCAGUGGCUGGACUGCUUUCUCCAGGCAGAAGGACAAGAGUGCACCAGGCCUCCCUAAGGAUCUUCUGGCUGGAGAUGUCUGCACUUGUUGACUGACCUGGAGGGGACUCUGGACUGAAAGCUGCUGGGAGCUGAGAGCAGAGUGGGUUCUACCCUCAGGAUGUCCAUUUCAGGGGAGGGCCAGGUGGGACACCUCAAGAAAAUGUGUGAGAACAUCCCAGACAGAUGUACUCAAGCAGCCCAAGGGGUACAAUCAAGAAGCCGAAAAGAGAGAGCUUUGUGGAUGUGGUUACCAGGAGGACUUCCUGGAGGCAGUAGCCAAGCGAAUGAGUGACACAAAAGUUCGAGGCAGUCUCAGCCAAGGCUUUCCUGCGAGACUGCUGAGCUGGAGUCCCUUGGUGGUAAGGGGCGCCUAGCUGGGUCUUCACAUCCCGAAACCCUCUGCAGCAGCACUAUAGACAGUUGAGCUGACUUCCCAGCACACUGGCAGGCAGCUCUGUCUCCAGGGAGGCCCCAGCCUGGAGGAGGAUUCCGUGAAUUCUCAGAAGCACUUCUCACCCCCUCACUGGGGCCCUGGGGGAGCCCCUGGAGGGAAGUUCCCUGGCAGGAAAGCAGGAUAUAUGGGGUUGUCUCUGCCCCAACGCUAGCCUGAGUGGGCAAGCGGGAGCAAGGUGGUUCCCCAGGGGAGGGGAGACAACCUCUCCUCUCCUCCACUCCCACCCCCACAUGCACGCCUUCCACACGGUCAGGAUGCCUUGUGAAGUGGUAAGACCCUUGUUUCUGGGAGUGUGCAAGUGCCUGUAAUUAUAUUGCACUGAAGAGGAUCUGGGUUGGGGGGUGCAGGAGGAAGCCGUGCAGGAUGUUUCAGGACUUCCACAGAUCCCAUGUCAGCCUGGGGCUAAGUGCCACCUCUGCCACCUCAUUGGCCCAUUAAGGGGCAUCCAGGGUCCAGGGGAGGAGCACUGGUCUAAGGCUCAUGGGGUCUGAGGUCCUCUCCUGCCACAGGCAUGUACUGGCUGUGUGAUCUUAGUCCACUCCCUUCCCCUCUCUGGUCCUCAGCUCCUCCCCCAUCAUUGAGGGGGCGGAAUCAGUGAUUUUCUGGGCAUGAGUGACUGUUUGGGAAUCACUCAGAAGAGAGAAUAAAGCUCGUGAUCCACCUUGUGA